Molecule: transfer RNA, 91 nt
Filed under: Talaromyces stipitatus ATCC 10500
Lineage: Eukaryota; Fungi; Ascomycota; Eurotiomycetes; Eurotiales; Trichocomaceae
Rfam family: tRNA
About the family: Transfer RNA (tRNA) molecules are approximately 80 nucleotides in length. Their secondary structure includes four short double-helical elements and three loops (D, anti-codon, and T loops).
Source: Rfam by way of RNAcentral
GGCGAGGUGACAGAGUGGUCUAAUGCGCCAGACUCGAAAUUGCGAAUAUCUGGUUCCUUCGGGAGCGUGUGUUCAAAUCACACCCUCGUCG